This 331-nucleotide unclassified non-coding RNA is filed under the name soil metagenome. RNAcentral's name for it is "partial contains 5.8S ribosomal RNA, internal transcribed spacer 2, and large subunit ribosomal RNA". The stretch from base 1 to 120 matches the Rfam family "5.8S ribosomal RNA", at positions 35 to 154 of the family's 154-position model. The record is from RNAcentral.
GAUGAAGAACGCAGCGAAAUGCGAUAAGUAAUGUGAAUUGCAGAAUUCAGUGAAUCAUCGAAUCUUUGAACGCACAUUGCGCCCCCUGGUAUUCCGGGGGGCAUGCCUGUUCGAGCGUCAUUUCACCACUCAAGCCUCGCUUGGUAUUGGGCAACGCGGUCCGCCGCGUGCCUCAAAUCGACCGGCUGGGUCUUCUGUCCCCUAAGCGUUGUGGAAACUAUUCGCUAAAGGGUGUUCGGGAGGCUACGCCGUAAAACAACCCCAUUUUUAAGGUUGACCUCGGAUCAGGUAGGGAUACCCGCUGAACUUAAGCAUAUCAAUAAGCGGAGGA